CCUACGGGAGGCAGCAGUGAGGAAUAUUGGUCAAUGGGCGUAAGCCUGAACCAGCCAAGUCGCGUGAGGGAUGAAGGUUCUAUGGAUCGUAAACCUCUUUUAUAAGGGAAUAAAGUGUGGGACGUGUCCUUUUUUGUAUGUACCUUAUGAAUAAGGAUCGGCUAACUCCGUGCCAGCAGCCGCGGUAAUACGGAGGAUCCGAGCGUUAUCCGGAUUUAUUGGGUUUAAAGGGUGCGUAGGCGGCCUUUUAAGUCAGCUGUGAAAGUCUGUGGCUCAACCAUAGAAUUGCCGUUGAAACUGGGGGGCUUGAGUGUGUUUGAGGCAGGCGGAAUGCGUGGUGUAGCGGUGAAAUGCUUAGAUAUCACGCAGAACCCCGAUUGCGAAGGCAGCCUGCCAAGCCAUGACUGACGCUGAUGCACGAAAGCGUGGGGAUCGAACAGGAUUAGAUACCCGAGUAGUC
Molecule: ribosomal RNA, 460 nt
Filed under: uncultured bacterium
Lineage: Bacteria
Description: partial 16S ribosomal RNA
Rfam family: Bacterial small subunit ribosomal RNA
Source: RNAcentral